Unclassified non-coding RNA from Vigna unguiculata (cowpea), 1590 nucleotides. Lineage: Eukaryota; Viridiplantae; Streptophyta; Magnoliopsida; Fabales; Fabaceae. The record is from RefSeq and is a predicted model, not a curated record.
UAAACAUCAUUUACGUAAGAAAGGUUUCGAAGCCCCAAAUCCCCUUGAAAUUUGGAGGUUUCUUAACUCCUUUUCGUGGGAGCCAUGGAAGAGAAAGAUUGGGAUGACGAGGAGUGCGAUGACACUCUCACCAUGACCACCGUUUCACGCCACUGUUUCGGCGACGAUUCUGAAUCUCCGAGCUUCUCCAUCUCCAUCAUCGAGAACAUGAAGGAAGAUUAUGGCCUAUUCGUCUGGCCCUGCAGCGUAGUUCUUGCCGAGUACGUGUGGCAGCAGAAGCAUCGGUUUUCAGGCGCCACCGUAGUUGAGCUAGGUGCUGGAACUUCCUUGCCUGGCUUGGUUGCUGCAAAACUCGGUGCUCGUGUCACUCUUACAGAUAACUCCACCAGAUUAGAGGUGCUUGACAACAUGAGAAGAGUUUGUGAGUUGAACAAGCUUGAGUGCAAUGUGUUGGGAUUGACGUGGGGUGUUUGGGAUGCACCGUUAUUCAGUUUACAGCCCACACUUAUUCUAGGGGCCGAUGUGUUGUACGAUUCAAAUGCCUUUGAUGACCUCUUUGCUACUGUGACAUUCUUGCUCCAAAAUUCUCCUGGGUCGAUUUUUAUAACGUCAUACCAUAAUCGAAGUGGGCACCACCUUAUUGAGUUUUUGAUGGGAAAAUGGGGCUUAAAGUGUUUGAAACUUCUUGACGGGUUUUCCUUCCUUCCACCCGACAAAGCAUCACUACUAAGCGGUAACAUUCAAUUGGCAGAGAUAGCUCCUAUCUCAAAAGAUAAUGCUUGAGGUAGCUCAAAACUGUGAAAAAAAUUAGCAGUUUUUUUGGGUCGGGCGGCUGUUGUUAUAUAAAUUCUUGUUGCUCUCUUGCAUCUCAUAUCUAUAUGAUCAAGAAAUUGUUUAGGCCAUGAUCACGCUACAGAAAUGCCUCCUAAAAUGGAUAUCAUAUCAUACUUUUCUGCUAUACAUUAGAUGAAGAAAAAACUAUUUCUUUUUAUUUUGUGGUUCCUUAAUCUUGAGAAAUGGUGUAAGGCAAUAAUCUUUGUGGAUGGGGAACUGGGAUAGCAAUUGUUGAUGAAAAUUUUAGUGUUUUUAGUACUACAUGUUUUUGAAAUAUAUUUGGGCUAGGUUUAAUUUACAUCUAAGAUCACUUGGUGUGUUGUUACUCAUUUGUAAAAGGAUGUUUACAGGUUGAUAUUUGCAGUGCUGUCAAGUGGCUAGAGCCUGAAAACCACAUAUAAUUAUUGAGUUGAUUAUUUAAGAAAAUUUUCUUUUGCAAUGAAGGACACAGAAGUAACAAGCAAAGGAAACUGCGCCUCAGAUAUAGGAAUGUAUGCGGUAGUUAAGGUUGAGCCAUCGUAAUUUUUGUUUUUUCUUUUUGUGCCAAAGCUUGCAUUGCAAGUCUUUGUUAGUUAUAAUGGUAGCCAGGUCUUAUCAAAACAACAAUUAUUAUUGUAGGAGCUUUCCUGCUUAUGUAAAUCAUAGUUCAGAGGAAUCUAAUUAUUAACAGUACUAAUUUGUGUCCAGACAGUCCGGUGCAUUUGUAAAAAGCAAAUAGUAAAAUGAGAUUUUCUUUAUGUUUAAGAUGAAAAAAAA